UCAGGACUCCUCAGGUCAUCUUCUCACAAUGAGGCUCCCUGCUCAGCUCCUGGGACUGCUAAUGCUCUGGGUCCCUGGAUCCAGUGGGGACAUUGUGAUGACCCAGACUCCACUCUCCCUGCCCGUCACCCCUGGAGAGCCGGCCUCUAUCUCCUGCAGGUCUAGUCAGAGCCUCCUGCAUAGUAAUGGAUACACCUAUUUGCAUCGGUACCUGCAGAAGCCAGGCCAGUCUCCACAGCUCCUGAUCUAUUUGGGUUCCAACUGGGCUUCCGGGGUCCCUGACAGGUUCAGUGGCAGUGGGUCCGGCACUGAUUUCACACUGAAAAUCACUCAGGGUGGAGGCUGAGGAUAUUGGCUUUUAUUACUGCAUGCAACAUCUACAAAUUCCU
Non-coding RNA from Cercocebus atys (sooty mangabey), 389 nucleotides. Lineage: Eukaryota; Metazoa; Chordata; Mammalia; Primates; Cercopithecidae. The record is from the annotation of a RefSeq genome assembly.